AUACCCGCUCCGCGAGUGGUGGGGACUUUUACUGGGCUUAAAGCGCCCGUAGCCGGCUGGGUGUGUCCUCCGUUAAAUCCACAGGCCUAACCUGUGGGCUGCGGGGGAUACUACCCGGCUUGGGGGUGGGAGAGGGCGGCGGUAUUCCCGGGGUAGGGGUAAAAUCCACUGAUCCCGGGAGGACCACCAGUGGCGAAGGCGGCCGCCCAGAACACGCCCGACGGUGAGGGGCGAAAGCUGGGGGAGCAAACGGGAUUAGAAACCCUUGUAGUCC
Molecule: ribosomal RNA, 274 nt
Filed under: uncultured bacterium
Lineage: Bacteria
Description: partial 16S ribosomal RNA
Rfam family: Archaeal small subunit ribosomal RNA
Source: RNAcentral